RNAcentral lists this ribosomal RNA (120 nucleotides) under Ascochyta rabiei. Lineage: Eukaryota; Fungi; Ascomycota; Dothideomycetes; Pleosporales; Didymellaceae. The record is from RNAcentral.
ACAAAUGACCAUAGGACGUUGAAAACAGGGCUUUCCAUUCGCUCAACCCUGUUUAAGCAGCAUACUGGCAGAGAAGUUGUUAGGUGGGUGAUCAUUAGCGAAUACCCGCUGUUGUAUGUU